RNAcentral lists this ribosomal RNA (279 nucleotides) under uncultured bacterium. Its description in RNAcentral is "partial 16S ribosomal RNA". The record is from RNAcentral.
AACGGAGGGGCAAGUGUUAUUCUUCAUAAACUGGGCGUAAAGGGUUCGUAGGCGGCCUUGCCAUUUAAUUAAAUAAUUCUAAAUUAUUUAAAAAAAGAAAAGUUUAAAACGGUUUAUUUUAAAGUGUGGUAUUAUUUUUAUAUCCUAAGUAAUACAAACCUUACAAUCACUGCAGUUAUGAUUUUUGCUGAGUCUUAUAGAAGAUAGCGUACUUAUAAUUUAGAGGUGAAUUCUGAGAGAUUAUUAAGGACAUCAAAGGCGAAAGCAGCUAUCUAUGUG